RNAcentral lists this non-coding RNA (24 nucleotides) under Cricetulus griseus (Chinese hamster). Lineage: Eukaryota; Metazoa; Chordata; Mammalia; Rodentia; Cricetidae. The record is from RNAcentral.
AUUGUCCUAAGAAGAUUUAAUCUU